CUUUCUUUGCUGGCGACCGGCGCACGGGUGAGUAACACGUAUCCAAACUGCCCUUUACUCGGGGAUAGCCUUUCGAAAGAAAGAUUAAUACCCGAUAGCAUAAUGAUUCCGCAUGGUUUCAUUAUUAAAGGAUUCCGGUAAAGGAUGGGGAUGCGUUCCAUUAGGUUGUUGGUGAGGUAACGGCUCACCAAGCCUUCGAUGGAUAGGGGUUCUGAGAGGAAGGUCCCCCACAUUGGAACUGAGACACGGUCCAA
RNAcentral lists this ribosomal RNA (254 nucleotides) under uncultured bacterium. RNAcentral's name for it is "partial 16S ribosomal RNA". It matches the Rfam family "Bacterial small subunit ribosomal RNA", at positions 79 to 334 of the family's 1533-position model. The record is from RNAcentral.